This is a long non-coding RNA of Triticum aestivum (bread wheat), 270 nucleotides long. RefSeq lists it as uncharacterized. The transcript is spliced from 2 exons. The record is from RefSeq and is a predicted model, not a curated record. Lineage: Eukaryota; Viridiplantae; Streptophyta; Magnoliopsida; Poales; Poaceae.
AAUAGAGAGCAAGGGACAUAUAAGAAAUCUCCAGGCAGCUUCACUUAGAUGCAUCAUCUUCUGCUAGGAGUCAGCUUGAAGAACGACCUUCUCAGGAGACUGCAACUGACAUGCUGGAUGGGGAAUAACCAAAUUUCUGGACAAAGACAAAGAGUUCAUCGCAAGGGGUGGUGUUUAGGAUAUAUACACAAAAGAGGAAACUUUUUUUGUACAGAACCAAAUUAUAUGAUGUAAUUGACCACUAUUUCUAAGAAAUGUUCAUCAUGUAUU